Molecule: ribosomal RNA, 538 nt
Filed under: bacterium enrichment culture clone Ean13
Lineage: Bacteria
Description: bacterial SSU rRNA
Rfam family: Bacterial small subunit ribosomal RNA
Source: RNAcentral
CAUGCAAGUCGAGGGGUAUAGAGAGCUUGCUUUCUAGAGACCGGCGGAUGGGUGAGUAACGCGUAUGCAACCUACCUUUUACAGGGGAAUAGCCCGGAGAAAUUCGGAUUAAUGCUCCAUGGUUUAAUUGAACGGCAUCGUUUGGUUAAUAAAGAUUUAUCGGUAAAAGAUGGGCAUGCGUAUCAUUAGCUAGUUGGUGUGGUAACGGCAUACCAAGGCUACGAUGAUUAGGGGUCCUGAGAGGGAGAUCCCCCACACUGGUACUGAGACACGGACCAGACUCCUACGGGAGGCAGCAGUGAGGAAUAUUGGUCAAUGGAGGCAACUCUGAACCAGUCAUGCCGCGUGCGGGAUGACGGUCCUAUGGAUUGUAAACUGCUUUUGUACGGGAAGAAAUGUAAUUACGAGUAAUUAUUUGACGGUACCGUAAGAAUAAGGAUCGGCUAACUCCGUGCCAGCAGCCGCGGUAAUACGGAGGAUCCGAGCGUUAUCCGGAAUUAUUGGGGUUUAAAGGGGUUCGUAGGCGGUUGAGUAAGUC